GACGAACGCUGGCGGCGUGCUUAACACAUGCAAGUCGAGCGCUGAAGCCUCUUUCGGGGUGGAUGAGCGGCGAACGGGUGAGUAACACGUGGGUGACCUGCCCUCAGCUUUGGGAUAAGCCUGGGAAACUGGGUCUAAUACCGGGUAUGACCUCUUGUUGCAUGACUUGGGGUGGAAAGCCAGUUACUUUGUUUCUGGUGGUUGGGGAUGGGCCCGCGGCCUAUCAGCUUGNGGUGGGUGAUGGCCUACCAAGGCGACGACGGGUAGCCGGCCUGAGAGGGCG
This 283-nucleotide ribosomal RNA is filed under the name uncultured bacterium. RNAcentral's name for it is "partial 16S ribosomal RNA". It matches the Rfam family "Bacterial small subunit ribosomal RNA", at positions 28 to 302 of the family's 1533-position model. The record is from RNAcentral.